GAUCAAGUGAAAGAAGGGCAUUUGGUGGAUGCCUUGGCAUGCACAGGCGAUGAAGGACGUGAUACGCUGCGAAAAGCCGUGGGGAGCUGCGAAUGAGCUUUGAUCCAUGGAUCUCCGAAUGGGGCAACCCACCUUAGAUGCUUGGAAAAUCAUUUUGGUUGGCAGCUGGUCCCGAAGCCGUAAGGCUUCGCAAGGCCAGAGGCCGUCGCCGGUUAUCCGGCGUCAAGAAACCAAAGUGGUUUCCAAGCAUUGUUGAAAGGUAUCUUAUUCUGAAUACAUAGGGAUAAGAAGCGAACGCAGGGAACUGAAACAUCUAAGUACCUGCAGGAAAGGACAUCAACCGAGACUCCGCAAGUAGUGGCGAGCGAACGCGGACCAGGCCAGUGGCAAUGAGGAAUAAAGUGGAACGAUCUGGAAAGUUCGGCCGUAGCGGGUGACAGCCCCGUACACGUAGAACACUCAUUGUCCUUGAGUAAGGCGGGACACGUGAAAUCCUGUCUGAACAUGGGGAGACCACUCUCCAAGCCUAAGUACUCGUGCAUGACCGAUAGCGAACAAGUACCGUGAGGGAAAGGUGAAAAGCACCCCGACAAGGGGAGUGAAAUAGAACCUGAAACCGGAUGCCUACAAACAGUCGGAGCCCGCAAGGGUGACGGCGUACCUUUUGUAUAAUGGGUCAACGACUUAGUGUGGCAUGCAAGCUUAAGCCGGUAGGUGGAGGCGUAGCGAAAGCGAGUCUGAACAGGGCGCUUUAGUAUGUCGCAUUAGACCCGAAACCGAGUGAUCUAGCCAUGAGCAGGUUGAAGGUUGGGUAACACCAACUGGAGGACCGAACCCGCAUCUGUUGCAAUAGAUUGGGAUGACUUGUGGCUAGGGGUGAAAGGCCAAUCAAACUCGGAAAUAGCUGGUUCUCCGCGAAAACUAUUUAGGUAGUGCGUCGACCGAAUACCCUCGGGGGUAGAGCACUGGAUGGGCUAUGGGGACUCACCGUCUUACUGAUCCUAACCAAACUCCGAAUACCGAGGAGUACUAGUCGGCAGACACACGGCGGGUGCUAACGUCCGUCGUGAAAAGGGCAACAACCCUGACCUCCAGCUAAGGUCCCCAAGUCAUGGCUAAGUGGGAAAGGAUGUGAGGAUCCCAAAACAACCAGGAUGUUGGCUUAGAAGCAGCCAUCAUUUAAAGAAAGCGUAACAGCUCACUGGUCUAAAUAAGGGUCUUUGCGCCGAAAAUGUAACGGGGCUGAAGCCAUGCACCGAAGCUGAGGCUUACGAUCUUCCUCGGAAGACGUAGGGGUAGCGGAGCGUUCCGUAAGCCAGUGAAGGGAUACCCGUGAGGGGUCCUGGAGGUAUCGGAAGUGCGAAUGUUGACAUGAGUAACGAUAAAGAGGGUGAGAGACCCUCUCGCCGAAAGACCAAGGGUUCCUGCUUAAAGUUAAUCUGAGCAGGGUUAGCCGGCCCCUAAGACGAGGCGGACACGCGUAGUCGAUGGGAACCACGUUAAUAUUCGUGGGCCUGGUGGUAGUGACGGAUUGCUCAACUUGUCCGGACUUAUUGGAUUGUCCGGGCGGGGACGCGGUUCCAGGAAAUAGCUCCACCGUAUAGACCGUACCCGAAACCGACACAGGUGGUCAGGUAGAGUAUACCAAGGCGCUUGAGAGAACUAUGUUGAAGGAACUCGGCAAAUUGCACGCGUAACUUCGGAAGAAGCGUGACCCUUUUCUACGCAAGUAGGAUGGGGUGGCACAGACCAGGGGGUAGCGACUGUUUAUCAAAAACACAGGGCUCUGCGAAGUCGCAAGACGACGUAUAGGGUCUGACGCCUGCCCGGUGCUGGAAGGUUAAGAGGAGGGGUGCAAGCUCUGAAUCGAAGCCCCAGUAAACGGCGGCCGUAACUAUAACGGUCCUAAGGUAGCGAAAUUCCUUGUCGGGUAAGUUCCGACCUGCACGAAUGGCGUAACGACUUCCCCGCUGUCUCCAACAUAGACUCAGUGAAAUUGAAUUCCCCGUGAAGAUGCGGGGUUCCUGCGGUCAGACGGAAAGACCCCGUGCACCUUUACUAUAGCUUUACACUGGCAUUCGUGUCGGCAUGUGUAGGAUAGGUGGUAGGCUUUGAAGCGGGGACGCCAGUUCUCGUGGAGCCAUCCUU
This 2148-nucleotide ribosomal RNA is filed under the name Ensifer meliloti. RNAcentral describes it as "Sinorhizobium meliloti partial 23S ribosomal RNA". It matches the Rfam family "Bacterial large subunit ribosomal RNA", at positions 1 to 2193 of the family's 2925-position model. Lineage: Bacteria; Pseudomonadati; Pseudomonadota; Alphaproteobacteria; Hyphomicrobiales; Rhizobiaceae. The record is from RNAcentral.